AAUUACAUACAUUUAUACGUAAACGAAUACAAUGGUAGGCUAUAUAAACAUAAUUAAAUUAAACAAAAUUAUGAACAAAAUACCAAAAGUCUACAUAAACCCCUCUUUCUUGGGGUAUAACUUUGAUACUGUAUAAGUGUUCUCGAAAUAAACUCUUUGAAAAAAUCCAUUUGGCCGCACUCAGUUAUUGUAAUAUUUGACAGCACGUUG
Molecule: non-coding RNA, 210 nt
Organism: Cinara cedri
Lineage: Eukaryota; Metazoa; Arthropoda; Insecta; Hemiptera; Aphididae
Source: the annotation of a GenBank genome assembly